Molecule: ribosomal RNA, 465 nt
Filed under: uncultured bacterium
Lineage: Bacteria
Description: partial 16S ribosomal RNA
Rfam family: Bacterial small subunit ribosomal RNA
Source: RNAcentral
CCUACGGGAGGCAGCAGUAGGGAAUCUUCCACAAUGGGCGAAAGCCUGAUGGAGCAACGCCGCGUGGGUGAAGACGGUCUUCGGAUCGUAAAACCUUGUUUUUAGAGAAGAAAGUGCGUGAGCGUAACUGUUCACGUUUCGACGGUAUCUAACCAGCAUGCCACGGCUAACUACGUGCCAGCAGCCGCGGUAAUACGUAGGUGGCAAGCGUUAUCCGGAUUUAUUGGGCGUAAAAGGAACGCAGGCCGGCAUUUAAGUCUGAUGUGAAAGCCUUGGGCUUAACCGGAGUAGUGCAUUGGAAACUGGGGGAGUUGAGUGCAGAAGAGGAGAGUGGAACUCCAUGUGUAGCGGUGAAAUGCGUAGAUAGAUGGAAGAACACCAGUGGCGAAAGCGGCACUCUGGUCUGUAACUGACGCUGAGGUUCGAAAGCGUGGGUAGCGAACAGGAUUAGAUACCCUGGUAGUC